This is a long non-coding RNA of Carassius carassius (crucian carp), 201 nucleotides long. RefSeq lists it as uncharacterized. NCBI's taxonomy places the organism in Eukaryota, Metazoa, Chordata, Actinopteri, Cypriniformes, Cyprinidae. The record is from RefSeq and is a predicted model, not a curated record. The transcript has 2 exons.
CUUGAAAGCCAAGGCUUCUGGGAAAGGACCUUUGACUGGAGGAGGAAUCAAGAAGUCUGGGAAGAAAUGAUUGUGUUUCUGUGUAUAUCUGCUUGCCGUUUAAACCACAGACUCAUGAUUUGGGUCCAAAGUGGUGACUAAAAUGAAUUAUUUUUUAGUUUAUAUUUCUCUCGUAAAGGAAUAAAGUUUGUAACGACUGUG